RNAcentral lists this transfer RNA (75 nucleotides) under Pseudactinotalea sp. HY160. RNAcentral describes it as "tRNA-Lys". It matches the Rfam family "tRNA". Rfam says of the family: Transfer RNA (tRNA) molecules are approximately 80 nucleotides in length. The record is from RNAcentral. Lineage: Bacteria; Bacillati; Actinomycetota; Actinomycetes; Micrococcales; Cellulomonadaceae. RNAcentral also lists the same sequence under 1 other name.
GCGCCUCUAGCUCAACGGUAGAGCAAGUGACUCUUAAUCACUGGGUUCUGGGUUCGAAUCCCAGGGGGCGUACCA